GCGUCGGUGGCUUAGUGGUUAAGCACUUGACUUGUAAUCUGUAGGUCCUGGGUUCAAGUCCCAGGAUGUA
This 70-nucleotide transfer RNA is filed under the name Papilio xuthus (Asian swallowtail). It matches the Rfam family "tRNA". Rfam says of the family: Transfer RNA (tRNA) molecules are approximately 80 nucleotides in length. Their secondary structure includes four short double-helical elements and three loops (D, anti-codon, and T loops). The record is from Rfam by way of RNAcentral. Lineage: Eukaryota; Metazoa; Arthropoda; Insecta; Lepidoptera; Papilionidae.